RNAcentral lists this long non-coding RNA (2502 nucleotides) under Triticum aestivum (bread wheat). RNAcentral's name for it is "long non-coding RNA (TAES_LNC021556)". The record is from RNAcentral. Lineage: Eukaryota; Viridiplantae; Streptophyta; Magnoliopsida; Poales; Poaceae.
GCAGCUAUAACAAGAUCUUGAACAAAAUCUGGAGCUCUAUGCAACCAACCAGGGGUGCUUCGAGCUGUCCGUGCAUAAUUUGCAAGACAAUGAGCUACCCUAUUUUGCGACCUAGCAAUCUUACACUGUUUGAACUACCGCUCUUCUAUAGAAUGUUUGAUUUUCUUGGCUAGGUUACCAACAGCAGAUUUUGUGAGUGAAGCAUCCGCCAUCGACGGGAGGGUGCCCAAGGAAUCUGAUCGUACUAUGACAAGGAAACUAGACCACUGAAUGGCUAGUGACAUUCCUAUCUUAAUUGCUUGUAUUUCAGCCUCCAGUGCAUUGUUGCAGUAAAAUAGAACCUGACAAGGUGCAAAAGUUACAUCCCUUUUCAUCUCUCAAGAUCAUGCUUGCACCUGCUGAUCCUGUGAUCCAUCUGAUCAACCAAUUGUUGUUAAUGCAGCAACGACGUAUGUUUUCUUGUCCACUACAUACAGGUGCGAGUAGUGUGUGUGUGUCUAUAUAAAAAAAAAGGGCAACCUGGUGUGCAUGUAGCUCCCGCUUGCGCAGGGUCCAGGGAAGGGUCCGACCACUUUGGGUCUAUAGUACGCAGCCUUUCCCUACAUUUCUGUAAGAGGCUGUUUCCAGGACUUGAACCCAUGACCUCAUGGUCACAAGGCAGCAGCUUUACCACUGCGCCAAGGCUCCCCUUCUGUGUCUAUAUAUAUAUAUAUAUAUAUAUAGUUACUAUUCAUCAUCCGGGGUGCAGAAUAAGUAUUUCUUCACCCGAGGUAAUUUUACGAUCAUUUCAUAAUUAAAUUACAUUUAGAAUUCAAAUAGUUACAUUCCUAUUGAUUCACUACGUAAAAUUUGACAUAAAAAAACAAAAAUAUAGGUCAUAAGACAAGAAAAUUUGUAGUUUAUGUGUAUUUUAGACUAUGUUUUUAUGUUUGUAGUUUUACAUAACAUAAAAUAUUUUUUACGGCGAUUAUAUAUUUUCUUACGGUCUCUUUUUACGUCGGAAAUAAGACAAAAAUUACGGAACGUAAAAUUAUGGUGCAUUGAUGGUAAAAUAGAGGGGGGGGGGUGAAGAAUAACUAUUCCUCAACCAGGAUGACGAAUAGCGCGACCCUAUAUAUACUAUUCAUCAUCCAAGGUGCAGAAUAAGUUAUUCUUCACCCGAGGUAAUAUUACGAUCAUUUCAUAAUUAAAUUACGUUUGGAAUUCAAAUAGUUACAUUCCUAUCGAUUCACGACGUAAAAUUUGACAUAAGAAAAUAAAAAUAUAGGUCAUAAGACAAGAAAAAUUACAGUUUAUGUGUAUUUUACACUAUGUUUUUACAUUUAUAAUUUUACAUAACAUAAAAUAUUUUUUUCGAUGAUUGUAUAUUUUCUUACGGUCUCUUUUUACUUCGGAAAUAAAGCAAAAUUUACAGAACGUAAAAUUACGGUCCAUUGAUGGUAAAAUAGAGGGGGUGAAGAAUAACUAUUCCUCACCGAGGGUGAUGAAUAGUCAAUCCCUAUAUAUAUAUAAGAAAAUGCGUGCGAGGACUGAGAAGUAUGUAGAGUAGUCGCCUCAGCUGGCUGCAUGCAUUGCUCUGUCUUGGCGGACGCAGCUUCGAUGCCUUAAAGGCACCUGUCUUUGGGUCACUGACAUGUGGGCUAGCCACCUGUUGGGCCCACAUGUCAUAGACAUAAAGGUAGGAAGGCACUGAAGCAUCAUCCGUCUUGACUGUAUGGUGGUUGGUUCCUCUGCCGUCAUCGCCGAAUCAAUUCAUGCCAUGUCCUGCCCUCCAUUGCAUUUUGCAUCAUGCAUCGGUCGAUGGAGUUGACACGUCGCUCUCUCACCCCCCGCUGCUUGGAUCCUUCGUGACAUGUAGUCAUGCGCUGGUCCAGAUGCAGGCCAGACCAACCGCUAAGUACGUACUAUACCAGCUAGCUAGGCUAGCUAUAAGGGUGCCAGCACGCAUAAUGGAGCCAAGCUAGCUAAUCAAUGGCCAUCGUCGUCGUUCGUCAGCUGGUGUGUGUGUUUAUCAUUUUUUUUAAACUAGCAGCAGCUGAGAAGUCAUUUGAUGUAUAAUAUAUCAACGGACUUUAUAUUUAACCAACAACCUUAAUCUUCUGUGGAUCAUGUCCCUCUCCUAACUAAUCUUCUGUAUAAAUCUGAUACGUGCCGAUCAAUUGAGAAUUUAUUGCUACUUAUUGACUUAACGAAAAUGUUUGACCAGCAUCAGAUUUUACCAUAAGAAAUAAUUUGCUUAUGGACCGUGAAUUUAUUGCUAUAUACCAUAGAUUGAUUUGGUAUAUUGGCUUACCAAAAAAUUGUUUGUUGACAGACAGAAGAGGAUGGAGAACAGAAGUCAGUGGAGAGUGGAAGGUUUGAUAUGAAUGGGUGGUGGGAAGAAAAGUGGAACAUGGAAUCUUGUGUUCUUUUUGAGUAAAUAAGAUAUAUCCACCGAAAUGAUAAAAAUGCAAUAUUAUCUUAUUAUCCGACCUUGUUUGUGAUUCAUUUGUUCAAAUCAAA